ACAUUCGCAGAAACGUUUUUAACUGGCAAGGUUUCGAGUUCCCAACCACAGCACCCUCAGUGAUGGUUUUCAGAAGACCUUGUUAGCUCCUCUCCUCCAGAGACCCAUCCUUCGCUGACAUCCCACCGAUUUGGGAGCAGGAAAAAACAGACUCCUGCAAAAUACCUCUUCUUCCAGUGCCCUGUACCCCUCUCUACUUACUUCGAGUCCCUGCAGUCCAGCAACAACCCCAAACGAGUGAAGGGAGGAGACAUAGGUUUGUCCAGGCUCUGCCACCGACGGGUGAUUUGGGAUGAGUCCUUCUCCAGUAUCAUUAUCUUCAACUGUAAAACAUGAGGGUUAGUCCGAAUGAUCUCCAAACGCUUCAGCAUUAAAGAUACAGUGAGAAGGUACCAUCUAUGAAUCAGAAAGUGGGCCCUCAUCUGAACAUGACCAUGCUGGCACCACGAUCUUGGACUUCUCAGCCCCCAGAACUAACAGUUCAACUUGGAGCACCCGCUAUAUGCCCCACGCUGUGACAGACUCUCAGGGGACACCAAGGGAAGUAAGGCCCAGCUCCCGCCUCAAAGAGCUGACCAUCAACUGGCGGGGAUUAGACAAUGAGAGAAGUCCAAGCUAAAGAAAGUACCACAGGAGAAACACCAGGCGCUUGAGGUUUCAAAGGAGGGAAAGGAUAUAUCAGGUUGGAGAUACUAACAAAAGACUUUAUUCAUUCAUCCAUGUAUAUCCAAUGAAAAUAUUUAUUGGGUGCCUACUAUAUACCAGGCACUAAGUUAGCUAUCAGGAAUAAGAUAUAAGUAAGCCAUUAUUCCUAGCCUCAAAGACUUCAUAAAAAAGUAGGAGGAACACACAUGUAGACAAACAAUAAUAUUCAUUAAUUCAUUUAUUCAACAUUUAAUGAGUAUCUAUUAAGUCCCAAGCUCAAGAGUGGUGAGAAGAAAGGUCUCUGUGGUAAAGGAACCCACAGUCUAGCUCAGAUGAUAGGUGUAUAAACAGAACAUUUCUAUGUAAAGUAGUGUGUUCAGUGCUGUGAUAGGUAUGUUAAAAAAAAUUGCAAAGUCUCAAGAUAGAGGGUGAAGGGCAAUAAACUCUUUCUGGGGUCAGAGAAAGCUUCUGUAGAGAACACAACAGAGGGAGUAUUACAGGACGAAGGAGCUUUUCAGGUAAUUAUAGAGAGGCAGGAGGAAGAGUAUCUGAGGCAGGUUGUACCAAUAUGGCUGGAAUAAGAAGAGUAGAGAUGUACCAGAGACAGAGGGUGGCCAAAUGGUGCGAGGUUUUAGAGCCCUUCAGCUGAAAGAAUGGAAUGUCAAGGUAUAAUGACCACUCAGAGGAGCAGGUAAACAACUGAGUGCAGGGUGUGGAUGGAAUCUCAGGGAAAGGUUCCUGGUGGAGUACAUAUCUGAGAGUUUUAAGUAAUGUGCAGGAACUUGUUAAGAAGAAACAGCAUUCCUCAGAAUGGAUUUUGCAGGUGAAAAUAAUGGAGAGAAGAAAUUUCAGAGUCAACAGCUUGAGCAAAAAGCAAAGAAGCAAAAAGCCCACGUACAUACAAUCAGGGAGAGGUGAGAGCCUGUGAAGGCGGCUCUUCACAUGUCUCUAAUCUCAGUGAACUCUGUGUUUCUGCCCUGACUCUGCUCAUUGUACAACAUGGGGGAGGGGUCCUCCUUCCAUCCCUUUCUCCUCUUCAAGGGUGACUCUUGGGUACUCAGAGUUUUAUGAAAUUAGGAGACCAAA
Molecule: long non-coding RNA, 1731 nt
Organism: Homo sapiens (human)
Lineage: Eukaryota; Metazoa; Chordata; Mammalia; Primates; Hominidae
Gene: CT70
Product: cancer/testis associated transcript 70
Source: Ensembl